This 1451-nucleotide ribosomal RNA is filed under the name uncultured organism. RNAcentral's name for it is "SSU rRNA". It matches the Rfam family "Bacterial small subunit ribosomal RNA". The record is from RNAcentral.
AUGGCUCAGGAUGAACGCUAGCUACAGGCUUAACACAUGCAAGUCGAGGGGCAGCAUUUUAGUUUGCUUGCAAACUAAAGAUGGCGACCGGCGCACGGGUGAGUAACACGUAUCCAACCUGCCGAUAACUCGGGGAUAGCCUUUCGAAAGAAAGAUUAAUAUCCGAUAGUAUAUUAAAACCGCAUGGUUUUACUAUUAAAGAAUUUCGGUUAUCGAUGGGGAUGCGUUCCAUUAGUUUGUUGGCGGGGUAACGGCCCACCAAGACUACGAUGGAUAGGGGUUCUGAGAGGAAGGUCCCCCACAUUGGAACUGAGACACGGUCCAAACUCCUACGGGAGGCAGCAGUGAGGAAUAUUGGUCAAUGGACGAGAGUCUGAACCAGCCAAGUAGCGUGAAGGAUGACUGCCCUAUGGGUUGUAAACUUCUUUUAUAUGGGAAUAAAGUAUUCCACGUGUGGGAUUUUGUAUGUACCAUAUGAAUAAGGAUCGGCUAACUCCGUGCCAGCAGCCGCGGUAAUACGGAGGAUCCGAGCGUUAUCCGGAUUUAUUGGGUUUAAAGGGAGCGUAGGUGGAUUGUUAAGUCAGUUGUGAAAGUUUGCGGCUCAACCGUAAAAUUGCAGUUGAAACUGGCAGUCUUGAGUACAGUAGAGGUGGGCGGAAUUCGUGGUGUAGCGGUGAAAUGCUUAGAUAUCACGAAGAACUCCGAUUGCGAAGGCAGCUCACUAGACUGCAACUGACACUGAUGCUCGAAAGUGUGGGUAUCAAACAGGAUUAGAUACCCUGGUAGUCCACACAGUAAACGAUGAAUACUCGCUGUUUGCGAUAUACAGUAAGCGGCCAAGCGAAAGCAUUAAGUAUUCCACCUGGGGAGUACGCCGGCAACGGUGAAACUCAAAGGAAUUGACGGGGGCCCGCACAAGCGGAGGAACAUGUGGUUUAAUUCGAUGAUACGCGAGGAACCUUACCCGGGCUUAAAUUGCAUUUGAAUAAUCUGGAAACAGGUUAGCCGCAAGGCAAAUGUGAAGGUGCUGCAUGGUUGUCGUCAGCUCGUGCCGUGAGGUGUCGGCUUAAGUGCCAUAACGAGCGCAACCCUUAUCUUUAGUUACUAACAGGUCAUGCUGAGGACUCUAGAGAGACUGCCGUCGUAAGAUGUGAGGAAGGUGGGGAUGACGUCAAAUCAGCACGGCCCUUACGUCCGGGGCUACACACGUGUUACAAUGGGGGGUACAGAAGGCAGCUACCUGGCGACAGGAUGCUAAUCCCAAAAACCUCUCUCAGUUCGGAUCGAAGUCUGCAACCCGACUUCGUGAAGCUGGAUUCGCUAGUAAUCGCGCAUCAGCCAUGGCGCGGUGAAUACGUUCCCGGGCCUUGUACACACCGCCCGUCAAGCCAUGAAAGCCGGGGGUACCUGAAGUACGUAACCGCAAGGAGCGUCCUAGGGUAAAACUGGUG